Molecule: ribosomal RNA, 443 nt
Filed under: uncultured bacterium
Lineage: Bacteria
Description: partial 16S ribosomal RNA
Rfam family: Bacterial small subunit ribosomal RNA
Source: RNAcentral
CCUACGGGAGGCAGCAGUUAGGAAUAUUGGGCAAUGGACGAAACUCUGACCCAGCAACGCCGCGUGAAGGAAGAAGGUCUUCGGAUUGUAAACUUCUGAUCUGUGGGACGAAGAAAGUGACGGUACCACAGGAGAAAGCCAGGGCUAACGACGUGCCAGCAGCCGCGGUAAUACGUAGGUGGCGGGCGUUGUCCGGAAUAACUGGGUGUAAGGGGAGCGUAGGUGGUUGAUUAAGUCAAAUGUGAAAGCCCAGGGCUCAACUCUGGAACUGCAGUUAAUACUGGUCGGCUAGAGUACAGGCAGGGUAGACGGAAUUUCUAGUGUAGCGGUGAAAUGCGUAGAUAUCAGGAAGAACACCGGAGGCGAAGGCAGUUUACUGGACUGCAACUGACACUGAGGCUCGAAAGCGUGGGUAGCAAACAGGAUUAGAUACCCUGGUAGUC